GCCGGCUUGGCGGAACUGGCAGUCGCGACGGGUUUAGGUCCCGUUGAUCUUAUGAUCGUGGGGGUUCGAGUCCCCCAGCCGGUA
This 84-nucleotide transfer RNA is filed under the name Catenulispora sp. It matches the Rfam family "tRNA". From Rfam's summary of the family: Transfer RNA (tRNA) molecules are approximately 80 nucleotides in length. Lineage: Bacteria; Bacillati; Actinomycetota; Actinomycetes; Catenulisporales; Catenulisporaceae. The record is from Rfam by way of RNAcentral.